This 305-nucleotide ribosomal RNA is filed under the name uncultured bacterium. Its description in RNAcentral is "bacterial SSU rRNA". It matches the Rfam family "Bacterial small subunit ribosomal RNA", at positions 334 to 637 of the family's 1533-position model. The record is from RNAcentral.
UUAUCCUACGGGGCGCAGCAGUGAGGAAUAUUGGUCAAUGGUCGGGAGACUGAACCAGCCAAGCCGCGUGAGGGAUGAAGGUACAGAGUAUCGUAAACCUCUUUUGUCAGGGAACAAAGGCGGGGACGGGGCCCCGGAUGAGUGUACCUGAAGAAAAAGCAUCGGCUAACUCCGUGCCAGCAGCCGCGGUAAUACGGAGGAUGCGAGCGUUAUCCAGAUUUAUUGGGUUUAAAGGGUGCGCAGGCGGUCUGUUAAGUCUGGAGUGAAAGGUAACGGCUCAACCGGUACAGGGUCUGGGAACUGGG